GGCCGAUGAUGCGAUAGUAUUGUCCGUACCAUCUGAGAUCCGGUGAUGCCGCCGCCUCUCUGAUGCUAUAUCUUUCUUCUGAGGCCG
Molecule: non-coding RNA, 87 nt
Organism: Musa acuminata subsp. malaccensis (wild Malaysian banana)
Lineage: Eukaryota; Viridiplantae; Streptophyta; Magnoliopsida; Zingiberales; Musaceae
Source: Rfam